RNAcentral lists this ribosomal RNA (492 nucleotides) under uncultured bacterium. RNAcentral describes it as "partial 16S ribosomal RNA". It matches the Rfam family "Bacterial small subunit ribosomal RNA", at positions 29 to 507 of the family's 1533-position model. The record is from RNAcentral.
AGUGAACGCUGGCGGUAGGCCUAACACAUGCAAGUCGAACGGCAGCACAGUAAGAGCUUGCUCUUACGGGUGGCGAGUGGCGGACGGGUGAGGAAUACAUCGGAAUCUACUUUUUCGUGUGGGUUAACGUAGGGAAACUUACGCUAAUACCGCAGACGACCUACGGUUGAAAGCAGUGGAUCUUCGGGCCUUUCGCGAUUGAAUGAGCCGAUGUCGGAUUGGCUGGUUGGCGGGGUAAAUGCCCACCAAGGCGACGAUCGGUAGCUGGUCGGAGAGGAUGAUCGGCCACAUUGGAAGUGAGACACGGUCCAGACUACUACGGGAGGCAGCAGUGGGGAAUAUUGGACAAUGGGGGGAAGCCUGAUCCAGCCAUCGCGCGUGGGUGAAGAAGGCCUUCGGGUUGUAAAGCCGUUUUGUUGGGAAAGAAAAGCAGCAGGUUAAUACCACGCUGUUCUGACGGUACCGAAAGAAUAAGCACCGGCUAACUUCGUG